AUUGAACGCUGGCGGCAUGCCUUACACAUGCAAGUCGAACGGCAGCACGGGAGCAAUCCUGGUGGCGAGUGGCGAACGGGUGAGUAAUAUAUCGGAACGUGCCCAGUCGUGGGGGAUAACGUAGCGAAAGCUACGCUAAUACCGCAUACUAUCUAUGGAUGAAAGCGGGGGAUCGCAAGACCUCGCGCGAUUGGAGCGGCCGAUAUCAGAUUAGGUAGUUGGUGAGGUAAAGGCUCACCAAGCCGACGAUCUGUAGCUGGUCUGAGAGGACGACCAGCCACACUGGGACUGAGACACGGCCCAGACUCCUACGGGAGGCAGCAGUGGGGAAUUUUGGACAAUGGGCGCAAGCCUGAUCCAGCAAUGCCGCGUGCAGGAUGAAGGCCUUCGGGUUGUAAACUGCUUUUGUACGGAACGAAACGGUGAGCUCUAAUACAGUUUGCUAAUGACGGUACCGUAAGAAUAAGCACCGGCUAACUACGUG
This 484-nucleotide ribosomal RNA is filed under the name uncultured bacterium. RNAcentral describes it as "bacterial SSU rRNA". It matches the Rfam family "Bacterial small subunit ribosomal RNA", at positions 30 to 507 of the family's 1533-position model. The record is from RNAcentral.